CCUACGAGAUGGGGAUAACUAUUAGAAAUAGUAGCUAAUACCGAAUAAAGUCAAUUAAUUUGUUAAUUGAUGAAAGGAAGCCUUUAAAGCUUCGCUUGUAGAUGAGUCUGCGUCUUAUUAGCUAGUUGGUAGGGUAAAUGCCUACCAAGGCGAUGAUAAGUAACCGGCCUGAGAGGGUGAACGGUCACACUGGAACUGAGAUACGGUCCAGACUCCUACGGGAGGCAGCAGCUAAGAAUCUUCCGCAAUGGGCGAAAGCCUGACGGAGCGACACUGCGUGAAUGAAGAAGGUCGAAAGAUUGUAAAAUUCUUUUAUAAAUGAGGAAUAA
RNAcentral lists this ribosomal RNA (329 nucleotides) under uncultured Borrelia sp. RNAcentral's name for it is "bacterial SSU rRNA". It matches the Rfam family "Bacterial small subunit ribosomal RNA", at positions 129 to 452 of the family's 1533-position model. Lineage: Bacteria; Pseudomonadati; Spirochaetota; Spirochaetia; Spirochaetales; Borreliaceae. The record is from RNAcentral.